This 844-nucleotide ribosomal RNA is filed under the name Shewanella sp. YAAN2. Its description in RNAcentral is "bacterial SSU rRNA". It matches the Rfam family "Bacterial small subunit ribosomal RNA", at positions 354 to 1192 of the family's 1533-position model. Lineage: Bacteria; Pseudomonadati; Pseudomonadota; Gammaproteobacteria; Alteromonadales; Shewanellaceae. The record is from RNAcentral.
GGGGGGCAAUUUGCCACUGGGCGCAGCCUGAUGCAGCCAUGCCGCGUGUGUGAAGAAGGCCUUCGGGUUGUAAAGCACUUUCAGCGAGGAGGAAAGGUUAAGUGUUAAUAGCACUUAGCUGUGACGUUACUCGCAGAAGAAGCACCGGCUAACUUCGUGCCAGCAGCCGCGGUAAUACGAGGGGUGCAAGCGUUAAUCGGAAUUACUGGGCGUAAAGCGUACGCAGGCGGUUUGUUAAGCGAGAUGUGAAAGCCCCGGGCUCAACCUGGGAACUGCAUUUCGAACUGGCAAACUAGAGUCUUGUAGAGGGGGGUAGAAUUUCAGGUGUAGCGGUGAAAUGCGUAGAGAUCUGAAGGAAUACCGGUGGCGAAGGCGGCCCCCUGGACAAAGACUGACGCUCAGGUACGAAAGCGUGGGGAGCAAACAGGAUUAGAUACCCUGGUAGUCCACGCCGUAAACGAUGUCUACUCGGAAUUUGGUGUCUUGAACACUGGGUUCUCAAGCUAACGCAUUAAGUAGACCGCCUGGGGAGUACGGCCGCAAGGUUAAAACUCAAAUGAAUUGACGGGGGCCCGCACAAGCGGUGGAGCAUGUGGUUUAAUUCGAUGCAACGCGAAGAACCUUACCUACUCUUGACAUCCAGAGAAUUUGCUAGAGAUAGCUUAGUGCCUUCGGGAACUCUGAGACAGGUGCUGCAUGGCUGUCGUCAGCUCGUGUUGUGAAAUGUUGGGUUAAGUCCCGCAACGAGCGCAACCCUUAUCCUUACUUGCCAGCGGGUCAUGCCGGGAACUUUAGGGAGACUGCCGGUGAUAACCGGAGGAAGGUGGGGGACGACGUCAAGUCA